GAUGAACGCUGGCGGCGUGCCUAAUACAUGCAAGUCGAGCGAACAGACGAGGAGCUUGCUCCUCUGACGUUAGCGGCUGACGGGCGAGUAACACGUGGAUCACCUACCUCUAAGACUGGGAUAACUUCGGGAAACCGGAUCUGAUACCGGCUCAUAUAUUGAACCGCAUGGUUCAAUAGUGAAUGACGGUUUUGCUGUCUCUUAUAGAUGGAUCCGCGCCGCAUUAGCUAGUUGGUAAGGUAACGGCUUACCAAGGCAACGAUCCGUAGCCGACCUGAGAGGGUGAUCGGCCACACUGGAACUGAGACACGGUCCAGACUCCUACGGGAGGCAGCAGUAGGGAAUCUUCCGCAAUGGGCGAAAGCCUGACGGAGCAAUGCCGCGUGAGUGAUGAAGGUCUUCGGGUCGUAAAACUCUGUUAUUAGGGAAGAACAAAUGUGUAAGUAACUAUGCACGUCUUGACGGUACCUAAUCAAAAAGCCACGGCUAACUACGUG
Molecule: ribosomal RNA, 497 nt
Filed under: uncultured bacterium
Lineage: Bacteria
Description: partial 16S ribosomal RNA
Rfam family: Bacterial small subunit ribosomal RNA
Source: RNAcentral